GAGACUCUGUGCGCGUGCAUAUCAAUAAGCGGAGGAAAAGAAACUAACAAGGAUUCCCCUAGUAACGGCGAGUGAAGCGGGAAGAGCCCAAAUUUGAAAUCUUCAAGGUUUGACCUUGACGAAUUGUAGUUUAAAGAAGUGUUUUCGGUUAGAGGAGUAGUAAAAGUUCUUUGGAAUAGGACAUCAUAGAGGGUGAGAAUCCCGUAUUUGGUCAUUCUUUCUAGCUUUGUGAUACACUUUCAACGAGUCGGAUUGUUUGGGAAUGCAGUCCAAAAUGGGUGGUAAAUUUCAUCUAAAGCUAAAUAUUGGCGAGAGACCGAUAGCGAACAAGUACCGUGAGGGAAAGAUGAAAAGAACUUUGAAAAGAGAGUUAAACAGUACGUGAAAUUGUCAAAAGGGAAGCGUUUGACACCAGUGUUGUUUUUCCGAAAAUCAAUUACGAAUGUUUUGUUUUUGAGGAGUUAUGACUUCAUCGGCUUGCUUCUCUCUUUACGAAACUUUCUUAACUGCACUUUUCGGUUAACAAGUCAACAUCAAUUUCUUUUGUUGUAAAAGGGUAUGAGGAAGGUGGCUUUCUUUUCGGAGAAAGUGUUUAUAGCCUUGUAGCCUCUGCAAUCGGAGAGAUUGAGGUCUGCAGCGUAGAUCCUUCGGGGCUAGAUACAGUUUGUGCUAAGUUAUAGCUUUUCAUAGACAACUUGUUGACUAUGUUAAGUCUUGUAGCUUACUCGCUUAUGCUAUUUUACCUACGCUUAGGAUGUUGAUCUGUAGUGCGUGCGC
RNAcentral lists this ribosomal RNA (777 nucleotides) under uncultured Neocallimastigales. RNAcentral describes it as "partial large subunit ribosomal RNA". It matches the Rfam family "Eukaryotic large subunit ribosomal RNA", at positions 23 to 647 of the family's 3401-position model. The record is from RNAcentral. Lineage: Eukaryota; Fungi; Neocallimastigomycota; Neocallimastigomycetes; Neocallimastigales.